This 5643-nucleotide long non-coding RNA is filed under the name Megachile rotundata (alfalfa leafcutting bee). Its description in RNAcentral is "uncharacterized LOC105663885". Lineage: Eukaryota; Metazoa; Arthropoda; Insecta; Hymenoptera; Megachilidae. The record is from RNAcentral.
UAUCUAAAACUCGCUCGAACCGUACAAAAAGAUAGCUAUCUAUAACUUUCUGCGAACUGCCUUUCAAAAGGAACGAAUUCGUUUUAUUUCUUUGUCGCGUUAUACUGCCCCGCGUGAUAUUGCUGCACAUUCGAUCGUUAGAUCACCGACCGUUCUAUCGCUACGAAAAUCUGCAAUUUUUACAUUCUCGAAUGUCGGCGUUUUGAAAUUUGACCUAGUCCCGUCUCACCUGCAGCCCAAUGGCGCAAAAUUGUUUCUCAAAGAACACGGAAAAAAUAUAUUAUUUCACGAGUGUUUUUAAUCGAGAAUAUGAUAAUUAAGGAAGCACAUAGACAACACCUCGGUGAGUCAUCUCCGUCCACGCUAUUUUUUCGAUGACCCACGGUUCAACCACGCACAUCGUUAAAAAGGCAUAAAUUAAAAGUUGCCUCCUGGCGGCUAGCGAAACUCGUGACUUUUGCCACGUUUUUCCGAUCGAAACGCCUCUGCUUCGUCGCAAAACAAACGUAAUCGUCGAGAAUAUCGUUUCGUGAAAACAAACUGCAGUACGUUCUUUCGCCAACGGAUGCAUAUACAUAUACAUAUAUGUAAUAUGUGAUAUAAAGCGUCGUCUUUUCGAACGAAUACUUUUCAAACGAUGAUCGUCCAUCGACAAAGAAUCGUGAAUGCAACGAAUACGCAGAGCUCUAGUGUAUGACGUAUAGGCACGAUAUAUCAAACACUUGGACCGGGUCCCAGCCUUGAGGGUUUAUUCUAGUAACACGAGGGUUUCCUAUUCGGAUCUCAUGGUUCUCGAUCGCUCCUCAUCUAACGGAUGAUAAUGAUUCGUCCCGAGAGUACUCCGAUUCCUGUGCCCGUUUCUUCGUAAUGUUUCAAAGAAGAAGACUCGAGUCGUACCGCGUAUUUCAACGGAUGCAGCCCGCCACCCCGUUGAAACCUUGUAUAUUAUUGGUUUUGCGUUUCACGCUGGGGUGCCAACAGCUUAGGCUAGAACCUUGGCUACGAGAAAGAGAGCAGUCGCGGGUUCCACGAGACCCGUGCCGAAUGACAAAAACCUUGCCUGGUUAUGCACUUGUACGGAUUGUGCGAAUACGUAAAAUCCAUUCGACUUUACACGCGUUCGACGCAUAGAUCUUAUCACGACACUCGUCUACGGACAUUCAAAGAUCUAUUCAUAUUUACGGAUCCGAAGAUUUUGGGAUUUAUGAGUAGCAUCCGAAAUUCUUGAUACGACACGGUGACAGCCACCCAGAUAUCGAGGACUUACUUAUUUAGCUUCUAGGUACCGAUACGUCGAGCUCGAAAUUCUUGUCGGAUCAAACGAAUACCGUGAACCCGCGAAUCUUUUCGUAAACACGUGCUACGAGACUGUCCUCACGAAGCUAAUGCUAUUUACCGUGUUAUUCGCUCGUAUCUCCGUACGUUUCACGAAACCAGCCGCACGAUACGACGCUUGAUAUCUGCUCGUAAAUGUCCCGAUAAAAAAGAUCGCUGGCGAGUCGUGGCAUGUUAAUAAAUCUCGCGGUUCAACGAACCGCUACACGUAUUUCGCUAUCGGGAUUCGCGUUUCUUGCUCGAUCGCGGCUGAAUCGUAGACGCAUCGCGUUUCGAUGCGCAAAGAAAUAUAGACCCUUCAGAACAGUGAUCUAAUCGUAAGGAAAUGAAAUGGAAUUUUGAAAUAUAUCAGAAAACGCAUGCGUUGUGACCACUCUCUCGCAAGAAUUUAUUUGUUUGAUUGGUUAGAAAACACUUCCGCCAUAAUCGUAGACUAAUGGAAGCAGCAUUCUCCUCAUUUUUCCAUUCUCUUCCAUUCCCCAGUAUAUUCCCUCGCGUGGCAAGAAUACGCGUGACGAGGAAUGAUACGGCAUUAAAUUCGAAGCAGACAACCUGGCACCGCUAGACUCGCUCUCUGUCCGAUGCACGUGUUCCAAGCGGAUACUCUCGCGUGCUCGCACGUGUACGCUCUAGCCUUAUUUUCCCUGCCGCGUCAAAAUCGAAAAUAAAAAGCCUUUUCUGCGCUGGAAAAUUUCCCAUUAAAAUAGCUCCAAACUGUUCUUCGAAUUUAUUUAUUAUAUACAAUAUAAUGUGUAAUGAUCGCUCCAACAGAAAUUUACACUUCGCUUAGUAGAAUGCGCUUCUACCGUAACCGUGGCUUAACUCGCAACAGACCUAACAAACGUCGAAGUUUCCCUCGCAUGUUCAUUUUCACGGGCCAAUUUCGUUCUCGAAAUAGCCGCUCUCUUAAAUCUGCUAGCUUCUACGCAAGUUAUUCUUGGUCCAAUAACAAACAUUGCCGAACAGUGCAGGCGCAACAAUGAUUCUUUUCGAUCGUUCGCGAUGGAGUAUUCCAUCGAAUGCAGAGAAACGGCAAGAAGAAGGAAAUGGUACUAAAAACAGCUGCGACAUAAUUGUUGGCCGCAAUUUACUGUCACCGUGAAAAUAACGUUGGUGCAGAGCGCGGAAAUGCGGCGCGAGAAAAUAUGAAACGCAGGAAAAAAUGUUGGGAGAAAAGCUUAACAGCCGCCUACUGAAAUCAUCGUAGUCGCUUGACCGUGACAAAUCGAUGGUUCGAUAAGGAAUUACGAUGCGUGAAAAUCGUAAGUGAAAAUCCUCGUCCGACGAUGUAUCUCUGAUGAGAAUACACUUGAUCACCACCCUCGUUUCAACGGAGUAGAAUCGAUACGAGCCGUGUAUCGACUCUGUCGGCCUCGUUUGGUCCUUUUAUGUAACCACCGACAGGACGUUGGGAAAACAGAAAGGAAAGUGGAGUGUGUCUGUGUGGGAAUAUUAGCCGUCUGUUGCUUAACCUUCUUCUCGCGCAAUUCUAUGGCGAUUCAAAGCAAAAAACUCAAGCUGCUUGCUUCGACGAUUUAGAAAACGUGGAUGGAUUUGUCGACUAUCAAACAUUUGUCCAAUCAACUUUGAUGACGAAGUAUGCGGUCAUUAACUGUAAAUAUAAAACUUUACAAACAGAAUGUCAUUCUACUGGUCAUUUAUUCGAGAAUAAAUUGUCAUUUUUCGAGGAUCAAUAAACAUUUAUUUUUAGUCGAACUAUGUACAAGGAGUUAUGUAUACACUUUUGCCAUUUUAACGGUGGUUUCUCUAUGCCGUUAUAGAAGACCUUCGACGAUCCGUCGGGAAACGAAGAAUUUUCCCGCCAAGAAGUUGGCCAAAUUUCGAGAGCGGUGGUGGUCGAUGGGGAAUAGGUCUGGUAAAUAUGAUGGGUAAUGGAAAGCUUCCAACUCCGACUUCUGUAGCUUCUGCACAGUGAUUUGUGCGAUAUGGGGUCCAACUGGGUCGUGCAACAGGAAUGAACCAAUUUUUCCGGUUUUCCGAUCAAUUGCUCGGCAUGGCUUUGGUAGCCAAAAACAACGUUGACGUUAUGGGUCGUUUCCAACAUUGUGUUUCCACGAAUCCGUACUCGAAAAUCACACCAAUUUUUGCGUACUCUGCAAAAAUCGGCCAACCGAUCAAAGCAAUAAAGAUAUCGUAGUGAACAAAUAAGGCGAAUACCGAGGAUACAUCUUUCGACGUAAAGUAAAGUCACUUCGAAAUGACAGCUCCGAAUGAGAUUCUUUCUCGCUGAAACUUUGUUAAUGGUGUUGGUAAAGAGAAAGGCACGAAAAUAGGCGUGAUUGUUUCAGCGAUAGCGGACAGCGCUGUUAGCUCGAUCAAGAAAUUUUCUUCGUUCGCGAAACGACUCGAAAGCGUGGAACAUAAUUGUUCGUGCAAAGAGUUGGCUCCAAGUUGAAGCUACGUCUACAAGAAAGUACCUCUGCGACAGAUUUUUCGACUUCCAGGCGCCAGCAGCGUCUCAUUGCUGAAUUUCCAAAUAAUCAAAAAUUUGUGGAUCGAUCCACUUCGAAACCGUACAAUCAAUCUACAGGAUCGAAAACAAAUAUAAUACAUACUUAUUAAAAUACAACUCGGAAGUUGGUCUUAUUCUUGCAUUCAUAGUAUAUGAUUGAUGGUGGAGAUAUUUUCUUCGAUUAUUUCUGCUGGCAUUAGUCGAGUUAACGUUCAGAACGGAUAGGCUGGGUUUUCCACGACCCUUGUAUCUAGCCGCGGUCCACUUCGAGGCGGACUUUCACGACGUUGAUAUGCUCGAUAAAAAAGCGCGCUCGACGAGAGAGGGAGAGAGAAGAGGUGUGCCAACGCCAAGAAAGAAUAUUAAUUCCAACCGAGCGUUUCACUUGUGCGCAUUGUUUCGUCCAACACUUUAAUUCACGGGAUUAAAAGUGACAAUUUUAGGAAUUAUUUGGAAUCGCAUCGAAUAUUUAUGCGCCAAUCAACGUCGAACGACAAUCGUUACGCUACCAAUAUUACUCACGGUAUUUUGCCCAUAAACAACACUCGGACAAACAUAAAGGUAAUUUCUUGUUUAAGUUAUACAUUUUUUGUUCGACGAAAAAAAGUUUGCAGCGUUGGUUCACGGAAAAAUCCAUCGAAAACAUCCGACAUUCCUCUGGAAAGACGUCCGCGAUUCGACGUGUCGAUAAACGAAGGCAAAUCGCAGAAUACAGAGGUGCGAAACCGAGCAUCGGAAGCCAAGGAAGAGCGCUUAAUAAAAGGCCUCCUUCGCGUUGGCACUCGGCAUCGAGCCGAACCGAUAUUCUUUAUUUAGCUGUCGAUAACCAAUCGGCCGGGUUUUAUUUAGACCCCGAUACCAUUUCUCCUCGCUUUUCUCCACACAACGAUGCUCAUUGUUACAAAGAAAUCUGCUCUACGAUUAUCGUCAACGCCCCAACUGUCCACCAUCCUCUUUCGAAACCUCUAACAAUCUCCUCGCCACCUUUCAUGCUCAGGGCCGGCAGAAAAAUAUGUUUUCGCGCAAACAUCGUGUUAUACAAAAGCAUUUAUCGAUUUACCAGCUUUGUUGUUCGCUGCUUUCAAUUUUGAUUUUAUAUUUUCAUCGUAGCGUAGAAACGCACCCCUCGAGCAGAGGAUACUCGCACUCUUGCGAAAUAUAUUUUGCAUUUCACAAAGCCUUACGAUCGUAAAGAGUCUCGCAAACUGAAACAUUCGAACUCUCUGAAAGUCCGCAAAUUCAUAAAUCUGAAAGUCUCAAAGACCGUUUUGAUCGAACGCUCUUCUCGGAAAGGAGCAAUCGAUCAAAUAUAACGCGCCGAUUAAUAACGAGCCGAUUAUUCGCUAGAACAGAACGAGCGAAACGAUCUCGGCCGCAUGGAGAAACGAGAAAUAUUCUUGGAACAAACGUGAAACGUUAGAGUAUAAGAGGAGACAAUCUAUGUAUACGAGUGUGGAGCAGCACGUGCAGCAAACGUGUUCGAAUUGAAACGAAGUCGAAGAAGAAGAAGACAGAAGAGGCGGUCUCUCGUGCGACCAACCAGUCGUAUCACGAUCCGCGUGUGUUCAAGUACUCGAUGACCCGGUCGUCUCACGUUCUAUCGAUAGUAGAAGCCACUUACGUGACGUUUUCCAGUCAGCUGACGAUACGAUGCGCGACGAUGCGUCAGCAAAGCGGCAAAAUGUAUAGAACGAUCGGGCCGGCGCGGAGCAUUCGUUCGAACAGCCAUGGUUUCUCUUUUGCUGCACCGCCAAUGUAACAGGUGCGACGAUGGAAUUGAACAUCAAGGAUAAGAAAAGUGGAACUUUGACGGACGUUACACGAUUCGCGGCUGG